Molecule: ribosomal RNA, 292 nt
Filed under: uncultured bacterium
Lineage: Bacteria
Description: partial 16S ribosomal RNA
Rfam family: Bacterial small subunit ribosomal RNA
Source: RNAcentral
AUGCUUAACACAUGCAAGUCGAACGCUUUCAGGGGCUUCGGCCUUUGAGGGAGUGGCGCACGGGUGAGUAGCGCGUGGGAACCUGCCCUGUUGUGGGGGAUAACCGCGGGAAACUGCGGCUAAUACCGCAUAAGCCGGCUGGUCUAGCGAUAGAUUGGCCGGGAAAGAUUUAUCGCGACAGGAGGGGCCCGCGUCGGAUUAGCUGGUUGGUGGGGUAACGGCCUACCAAGGCAAUGAUCCGUAGCUGGUCUGAGAGGAUGAUCAGCCACACUGGGACUGAGACACGGCCCAU